UACGUAGGGUGCGAGCGUUGUCCGGAAUUAUUGGGCGUAAAGAGCUCGUAGGCGGUGUGUCACGUCGGCCGUGAAAACCUGCAGCUUAACUGUGGGCCUGCAGUGGGUACGGGCAGACUGGAGUGCGGUAGGGGAGAAUGGAAUUCCUGGUGUAGCGGUGAAAUGCGCAGAUAUCAGGAGGAACACCGGUGGCGAAGGCGGGUCUCUGGGCCGAUAUUGACGCUGAGGAGCGAAAGCGUGGGGAGCAAACAGG
This 253-nucleotide ribosomal RNA is filed under the name uncultured bacterium. RNAcentral's name for it is "partial 16S ribosomal RNA". It matches the Rfam family "Bacterial small subunit ribosomal RNA", at positions 524 to 776 of the family's 1533-position model. The record is from RNAcentral.